UAAUUUCAAGUUUUUUAUGCAUUAAUUUCAGUGGUUUUCAUUUUGUCUCCCCUUCCCACUACCAGAGCUGGUAAUAUUUUCUGGCAUGUUCUAGCACAAAAGUUGUUUUGAAGUUAUUUCCUAUACUCAUGUCGGUUUUUGGAAAGUUAUGUUAUGAAAACACGACUUCAAAAAAAGUUAUACAAAAAUUAGUUGAAGUUGUGUUUACCACUUCACAAAACAAUAUGAGUUGGAAAAAUAAAUUGAAAACGGGUAUUUGGAAAAUAUGAUUUGAAAGAAAUCGCCCAAGGAUGCUGCUUUGCAUACUUGCUGCAGGUUUAUUCCUUUGAGGAACAUUCAAAGGGACUUUGCUUGAUUGAUGACCUGGCAGAAAUUUUGAGCAUGUCAAAACUCUCCACUGUUUGGUGUCUAAAAUUUGAUUAGUAUGAUUCCAUUAUGGAGUUAACAAUUUUUUUCUUUCAUGUAACCUUUUCAAAAUCUUCUGUUUUAUCUGCUCUGUUUUUCUCUCUUGUUUCCUGCCCUAUUCCCUCUUCUAAUUUGAUCUAUAUAUGUUUUCCUCCAUUUCAGCUCCUCAUCUAGGAAAAUUUCUCUUCCUCCACACACGAUCUUAAAAUCACGGACAUGUGAUACUACACAGAUAUGAAAUUUCUAAAAAUAUAGGAUACAUCAUGUGGGAAUACGCAAAAUAUAUAAUUUUCAGUCACGAAUUCAGUUUUUGGAAUCUCAAUUGCAAGCUGCAGGCGUGCCCGUUGAUCCAGUUGUUGCACCCUCAAACCCAUUACAUAGGCAACAGGUUGAGGAUUCACUUAGUAGUCAUCCCACUGUUCGGCCAAUGUCACAUCAACAACAAUCUCAUGCAUUUUCAUCCCAAGAGGUUCACCUUUCAAAGAAAGAGAA
Camellia sinensis is the source of this 897-nucleotide non-coding RNA. The record is from RefSeq and is a predicted model, not a curated record. Lineage: Eukaryota; Viridiplantae; Streptophyta; Magnoliopsida; Ericales; Theaceae.